Molecule: non-coding RNA, 203 nt
Organism: Pelobates cultripes (western spadefoot toad)
Lineage: Eukaryota; Metazoa; Chordata; Amphibia; Anura; Pelobatidae
Source: the annotation of a GenBank genome assembly
UUGUAAUGCAGUCAUUAUGAAUUUGUCAUGAACAAUCUAUCUUUGUAAGACGAAGAUCUAUCUAUGUAACAGUUCUGUUUUUUUAAGCAAAAUUACACUCUAAAAUAUGGUUCAAAUGCAGUUUAUAAAACUCAGUAUUUAAUGCAAGGACAAAGCAAAGCUAUAUGUUAUCAUCACACAAGAAAAGCACAUAGGGAUUCUGC